CCUACGGGGUGCAGCAGUCGAGAAUCAUUCACAAUGGGGGAAACCCUGAUGGUGCGACGCCGCGUGGGGGAAUGAAGGUCUUCGGAUUGUAAACCCCUGUCAUGUGGGAGCAAAUUAAAAAGAUAGUACCACACGAGGAAGAGACGGCUAACUCUGUGCCAGCAGCCGCGGUAAUAAAGAGGUCUCAAGCGUUGUUCGGAAUCACUGGGCGUAAAGCGUGCGUAGGCUGUUUCGUAAGUCGUGUGUGAAAGGCGCGGGCUCAACCCGCGGACGGCACAUGAUACUGCGAGACUAGAGUAAUGGAGGGGGAACCGGAAUUCUCGGUGUAGCAGUGAAAUGCGUAGAUAUCGAGAGGAACACUCGUGGCGAAGGCGGGUUCCUGGACAUUAACUGACGCUGAGGCACGAAGGCCAGGGGAGCGAAAGGGAUUAGAUACCCUUGUAGUC
This 446-nucleotide ribosomal RNA is filed under the name uncultured bacterium. RNAcentral describes it as "partial 16S ribosomal RNA". It matches the Rfam family "Bacterial small subunit ribosomal RNA", at positions 338 to 795 of the family's 1533-position model. The record is from RNAcentral.